This 1266-nucleotide long non-coding RNA is filed under the name Parus major (Great Tit). RNAcentral's name for it is "lncRNA (ENSPMJG00000018711.1)". Lineage: Eukaryota; Metazoa; Chordata; Aves; Passeriformes; Paridae. The record is from RNAcentral.
UUAAUGAAGUCCCCUCUCAGUUGCCUCUUCACCCACUCAGCCUUUCUUCACAAUGCUCCUUAACGAUCUUUGUUGCCCUCUGCUGGCCCCCAGGUUUGGGGUGUCGGAAGUCAGUAAUAAACAGGGGUGGGAGUGGAGUAUUGAUGUGUGAGGGGAAGGUAGGAGGGUGGAAGGAUGGAAAAGGAAAAAAAGGUGUCCGGGGGAGAGUAGUCUGAAUUGGGUUAUGGGGCGCUGCCCCACCUCACCCAUUGGACUCAGCGCGCAGGCCGUGAGUCUGUCUCAAAGCACCGCGGGGCCACGAGCAUCCGCCGGGGUUCGCGGGGGAACCGCUGCGGCUUCUCCUGCCCGGGCCGGCCCGCGCGGCGCCCCCCCUUGCUGGUGGCUCACCCGCCCGUCGCGGGCGGGGCCCUGCUGGGGCCGCGGGCGGCCCUUCCCUCAGACCUUCCCCGAGGCGGGGCGCGGGUGACGCGCACCCCGUGGCUGGCCUCGGCAGUGAGCUUCCCCCGGACGCCUGCAAGGACGUUUCGGGUUACUUAUAUAGCCUCACUUAGGCGACUUUUUCAGCUCAGGGGCUGCUUGGCUCCCAGGACCACAGAGCUGGAAGUGACAGGCCGAGCCCAGGAUGCUGUGCUGGGGCACUGCAGUGAUGCUGCAUUGGUGCCUCCCCACAGGAGGGUUCAGUCCCCUCAGGAUGGUCUGCUCAAGGGUGUAGAGAAGCUUCCCCAGCUCACAUCUCCCCAAGCAGGUUGCAGACGGCAAGACAACCUUCCAAACACCUCAAAGCAGAAGGAACAAUUGCUACCCAAGCUCUGGCCAAGUUCUCCGAAGAAGGAAAGAGACCCAAGUGUUGCAACAUCCCUUAAAGCUCUCUGAGAAGUGAUGACCGAAAUCUCCUGGAGUCUGGCCCAUGCUGCGCUCCCAAACCUCAGGUUCCCUGUCGCUUCUGGCAGCUCUCUUGCGCACAGGGCUUCUGCUGUGAUGCUGGAUGGAGACCACACCUCAGAGGCUGUGCCUGUGUUUAUCUUCUCUCCUGGAUGCCAACGUGACAGUGGUACCAAGAAGCCCCUGCUCAGGCUAGAGACCCAGUGCCAGAUGCUGUGUGUUCUGAUGGAAGGAGUGGGAGCCAGCCUUGGAGAACCAUGCAGGAAGAGCCCAGGCCCUGACUUGGAGUGCUCUGUGCUCCAGGGCUUCUGCUCCUCUGUUAUGUUCCAAAUCCCCAACCCUUCUUGCUCCAGAACUUCUGAAGUGCACCUCCCACCUCCCUGA